Molecule: ribosomal RNA, 250 nt
Filed under: uncultured bacterium
Lineage: Bacteria
Description: partial 16S ribosomal RNA
Rfam family: Bacterial small subunit ribosomal RNA
Source: RNAcentral
UGGGGAAUAUUGGACAAUGGGCGCAAGCCUGAUCCAGCAAUGCCGCGUGUGUGAAGAAGGCCUGCGGGUUGUAAAGCACUUUCAGUGGGGAAGAACAGGCCUGGGCUAAUACCCCAGGUGUCUGACGUUACCCACAGAAGAAGCACCGGCUAACUCCGUGCCAGCAGCCGCGGUAAUACGGAGGGUGCAAGCGUUAAUCGGAAUCACUGGGCGUAAAGCGCACGUAGGCGGCACGUUAAGUCAGAUGUGA